Molecule: long non-coding RNA, 2381 nt
Organism: Mya arenaria
Lineage: Eukaryota; Metazoa; Mollusca; Bivalvia; Myida; Myidae
Exons: 3
Source: RefSeq, a predicted model, not a curated record
UUUUGAGACACGUGACUUCCGUUUUCACCAAAUUUGUCAACAGUUUGAUAUCGUUGUUUAAAUAUAUAAAUCCAUGGUAUCUUCAUAAAGCAUUUCGAGCAAAUGAGCACAGACCCCAGUUGACCUUGACAAGAGAGUCGAAGAAUGAAGACAGAGUUUGGUUGAAUGUCAAAUACAGCUCAUGUAAUGACAGCUUCAUUCUUAACAUCUGUCGAGAGUUGCAUACUCAAAUGUGUACAACUUCCUGAUAAAUCGCACUAAACAGCUAGUGUAUUCAAAGACAUUGCUCACUAUUUUGGGGAAGUACAUGUACUUAUUAAAUAUUGUUAAGCAAAUAGAGUAUAUCAAAAUAGAAAUACAUGUAUUAACAUUCACUCGACAAACAGUAAGGAAUAAUGGCUGAACCGAAGGAGGUCAUUACAGAACGAAUAUUUAAGACGAAUUUUGCAAACAGCAAAACGUACAAUGUCCCAGGUGAUUGGCCCCAUGAAACAUAUCUGGUCAGCAAAGUGGAUAUAAAGAAAAAACAUAGAUUAAUUGCUCUGACAGAUGUUAAAGUAUUUCAGAACAUUUGGGGUUCAGGACUUCAUGCUCAUUAUAGGUUUUUUCAGUAUUUAGAGCAAAAUAUUUUGAAAAACAAGACCGAUGAUACACUAUUCGUUGAUGUGGAAAUAUUUCCCAGUUAUUCCCCCUGUCAUACAUGUGCAAAAUCUAUGGUAAAUUUCAUUACGCGCAUGAGAGAUAGAAACAUAUCUGUAACCCUUACAGUCCAUAUUGGAACAUUCUUCAAAAUAUAUGAUGCAAAUCAUACCACACAACCACACGUCGUCGGUUUGAUGGAGCUAAUUUGCACUCCUCGUGUGGAGCUGAAAACAUUCAAUGGACAAAAAGACUGGGAACGGUUUUUGGAAAUUGCUGAACUUCCCUCAGAAUGGAUUCAUCACGCGCAGACAAACCUACGAGUUUUGCGCGAGAAUAAUGACAGUUUGAUUUUAGAUAGGCUGAAAAUAAACGCAAAUGCAACGAGACUUCAAGAACAGCAAGCUACUUCUAUAGACUUUGAUGUUCAUUUGCAAGCAUUGUCUUUGAGCAAGGAAACGUCGGAUCAAUACCUGAGGUGCAAUGAUUGCAAAAUAACACUUUGUGAAUGUCACAGGCAGAAUCUACAGUUACAGGGUUUUUUCACAGGCUUAGGGACAGGGGUCCUAGCCCUCUACUACAAGGGAAAAAUAGCACUUGAAAUCCUUUUAAGGGAAUGAAUUUUCCGAGGAUUGUCUUAUCAUUGUAAAAAACUGAUUGAUUUCUAAGAAAUGUACACAAAGGAAGACACAAUUAUGUAACAAACCAUUGUCCUUUGAUGACAUUAAUCUGUGAAAAGACACUAGAAAUAACUUUGACAAACUCUUGAUAGUGUAAAAUAAAUCUAAUACAGGAUUUCAAAUCAAUUUAACAUUGGCCUCCCCCACCCUUUACUUACUUUACUUACUCUUUGUGUGAUAUCAUGUACUAUGAUUGUUCAUGGCUACAUAUUACGUUACUUAAAGUGUAUUGUACGCCUAUACGUGUAGUGUACACCUUGGUUUCAUUCAAUAAAGAGUAAUGGCGAUUGUUAAAGUCUACUGGCAUUUUAAGUGCAAACGUGCAUGUUCUUGACAUACACAAAAAACUUCAUCACAAACACAAAACUUAACCGAUAAAAAAAACACCGGACAACGCUUCCUUCGAUUUGCAUUAUAAAACACAGCUCUCGUCAUUACGAAUCACUGCGUAUGAGUUCAUGUCAUUCGGAACUCCAUGACCAUUUUCUGUCCAAAAAAAAACCCUCGGAUGUUUGCCUGUACAUCGGUAGAAAUAGUUAGUAAAAUUUCGAAUUAUAAUAUUAAUUAAAUGUAAUGUUUUAACAUGCAUUUGAAUAUCAUUAAUUAAAUGUAAUGUUUUAACUUGUAUUUGUAUAUAUCUGAGUUUAAAUCGAUGUUCAGUGAAGUGUAGUAUUGCAAACAUAAGAUUCCCAGAGUCUAAAUAAAAAAUCAGCAUGCACAGGGCUUGGAUGCAAUUUUAAGGAUGUCAUUUCCAAAAUGACGUUAUUUACCCAUAUGUGCCACGCUUUUCUAUAAAACCAAGUUAACUGCCAUUUUCUUUUCUUUUCUUUUAAUGCAAUUAAAAUAGAAAAAAAAAUAGUUUUACCAGUGUUAGAUGUCAAUUUAUUUCACCUUAUGAAACCCAAAAAUAAAUAGUUCACUCAUUGCUAAGUAUUGCCAUCCUACACUGAAACAAUCAAUUAAAUUUUAUAUCAUACAUGUUUUGUUAUUUUCUUUCAAUUAUACUUUAUAUAUAUAUCAUGCAUGUUUUGUUAUCUUCUUUCAAUUAUACUUUAUAUCAUA